This 74-nucleotide transfer RNA is filed under the name Salipiger aestuarii. Its description in RNAcentral is "Citreicella sp. ADB tRNA". It matches the Rfam family "tRNA". From Rfam's summary of the family: Transfer RNA (tRNA) molecules are approximately 80 nucleotides in length. Their secondary structure includes four short double-helical elements and three loops (D, anti-codon, and T loops). The record is from Rfam by way of RNAcentral. Lineage: Bacteria; Pseudomonadati; Pseudomonadota; Alphaproteobacteria; Rhodobacterales; Roseobacteraceae. RNAcentral also lists the same sequence under 1 other name.
GCCGCCUUAGCUCAGUAGGUUAGAGCGCUUGAUUGUGGAUCAAGAGGUCACCCGUUCGAGCCGGGUAGGCGGUA